UCUUAAAAUUGGGCCAAAACAACCCACCAGCACUGCAGCCCAAUUUCCUUGACCAUCAGCCCAUUCCCUUCAACAGCCCCAACCUUAUUCUUCCAAAUUAACACUUAGCCCAAUAAAUCACAUGAUCCGGCCCACACCUAUAUUUCCCUUUCCCUUAUCAAAAACAUUCAACAACCAUUACAGUCAUUUUCAACCAAAUAAAAAAACACCAACAAUUCAACGAUUUUCAACAAACAACAGCUGUAACAAUCAAAAUUCAAUCGACAAAUCUCUUAAAUCACGGUAAUUCCCCGCUCUCCAUUUUAUCUCUGUAAUUUUCAGGAGCCUCAAUUGUUGACUUUGGCUUAGAAAAAAUUCUUUAUUUUUUGUCAAAAUCUGAUCCUCAUUUGAGGGGGAUGUCUUCCUCCUACUGAUUUUCUUUGAAAUUGCUCAAAGAUUCCGCUCAAACGGCUAUUUUUUGAAAUUCGAACAAAUAUUUUUUUUUCAAUAAAUAGAAGUUGAUGGAGAGGAAUUAGGGGAGGAAAAAUUUUUGGGGAGAACUUUCGAGGAGAGAACUUUAUUUUUUUUUGUGAAAUCUUUUUUUUAGAGGUUUUGGAGAUUUUUUUUUUUUGGCUUACAUAGCUAUAAAAUUCGGAAAGAAAGUUGAAAUCCGACAAAUUUGAAGUUGAAAUUCCAGUGGUGGCGGAAGUCCGUCGUCCCGUUCGCUGCCCGAAAAAGUCCAACUGGACUCCAUCGCCCCUGCAUAUUCUCGAGACCAAAAUCAUCCAUACUAGAGUCAAAAAUCUCCAUCAAAAUCUGCCUAGGGGGCUGAUAUACAUUGUAUACAGCAGAUAUACAUGGUAAAAAGGCAUCUGCGCAUCAUCACGAGAUUUAUGAUGAAAAGUGGAAAGGAAAUAAACAGUUUUCGACACUGAUAUACACUAUAUAUGUAGUGAUAUACAAGGGAAAACGUAGAAAAACAAGGCUGGUAUACAUGUGGUAUACACUGCAGAAAAAUGGAUCAAAGUCCAUAAAGAAUAGGCACAAAGUUGGCCAGAUUUGAAAUGGGCCAAACAGGGGCCCAAAUCUCAACUUCAUUUUCUUUCUUACACUUAAUUUAUGUUGAUUGUAAUUUGUGCUAGUUUUAUUUUAAUUAACCUUGGUGAAUCCCUAAAGCGUUGUCAUUUUAUUU
This is a long non-coding RNA of Capsicum annuum, 1171 nucleotides long. RefSeq lists it as uncharacterized. The record is from RefSeq and is a predicted model, not a curated record. Lineage: Eukaryota; Viridiplantae; Streptophyta; Magnoliopsida; Solanales; Solanaceae. The transcript is spliced from 2 exons.